Megalobrama amblycephala (Wuchang bream) is the source of this 1239-nucleotide long non-coding RNA. RefSeq lists it as uncharacterized. The transcript is spliced from 3 exons. NCBI's taxonomy places the organism in Eukaryota, Metazoa, Chordata, Actinopteri, Cypriniformes, Xenocyprididae. The record is from RefSeq and is a predicted model, not a curated record.
GGAUCUUUUAAGUGCAGGGGAAAAAACUGUUCUGGAAUUAUUCCGAUCGAAACGAUACACGCAACUGAUCACCACAGCAACGUCUAAAAAGAACACUCUACUGGAUCACAUUUACAUCUCUCAUCCGGAUUUGUGUCUUCAAUCGGGUGUGUUACAUAGUUAUCAUAGUUAUCACAAUCCUGUGUACUGUAUUUUGCGUAAAUGAUUAGUCUCGUUCUGUACUGUAGUUUUUAUGGUGGAUGGGUAUUGUUGUUUGUUGUGGUAAUUGUUGUCUGUUGUGGUAAUGGUGUGUUGCGUUGUUGCCAUACGGAACCCGAGGCCGCUGAAUGCUAUUAUCGACUACAGCUUUGGAGGCACUCGCCUUAGCCUUGGGGUUGGCGCGUAUGGUUGUGGUAAUUGUGUGUUGCGUUGUUGCCAUACGGAACCCGGGCCGCUGAUAGGCUGAUAGAACCUUGGGGUUGGCGCGUAUGGUUGUGUUGCGGUUAGAUUGUGGUGUCUAUGGUCAUAUAAAGGUGUUAUGGUCAUAUAAAGGUGUUAUGGCACUGAGCUACGUAGAGAGUACAACCGCAGGAAGGACAAUGGAGUAGUGUGGCAGCUCCAGGGAAGGACACUAGGAAGUUAAGGCAGGAGCAGCAGCAUACAGGACACAGUGAGGAUUAGUGUGGCAACUCCAGGGAGGACACAGACAGUGAGAGCAACAUCGGCAUUGCAGGAAGAUUUUGGAGACAGUGGCAGUCCUCUCCAACACUGGAUAUGAGUGUGCAAUAUACCAUCUAAAGCUAAGUGUUAAAAGAUCUCACUUCAGUCACUGUACUACUGCACAUGAUAACCACAUUUAAAGGAAUAUUUUAAUCUAAUUUUGAUUUUCAUGUUUUUCAGGAACCGACUAGUCGGAAUGUCUGAGAAGAUCAAGUGUGCUACAGCACUGAUGACGAGCUGGAUACCAGCUUAUGUGUUAAUUUCUUUCAAGGACGGGACCAGAUGUGUUUGGAGUAGAGGACAAUGCUGACGACUGAAUAAGCAAAGGAAGAAGCACAUUAAAGCACUGAGGUAAAGUUUGUCAAUACUACUGGUAAGGUCUAGUGUUUCAGUGCGUUUUAUCAUACAAUGUGUUUGCUCAGAGGCAUGUGCUUUGAUGUGAAAGCUUAGAUUUUAAAGUCUGUGAUGGUUCUCAGAAGUGAGAGAGCACAAAUGUCUCUUGCAAGACAUACAGUACAGUCCAAAAGUUUGGAACCACUA